RNA transcript from Syngnathus acus (greater pipefish), 1283 nucleotides. It is a transcript of the gene named U2 small nuclear ribonucleoprotein A'-like, with no coding region annotated. The transcript has 7 exons. The record is from RefSeq and is a predicted model, not a curated record. NCBI's taxonomy places the organism in Eukaryota, Metazoa, Chordata, Actinopteri, Syngnathiformes, Syngnathidae.
UCCGCAUGCUCCGUUAAAGACAGCAUCUGUGUCGCUGUUCCUGAUUUAGCCCGAAAAUGGUGAAGCUUUCCGCGGAGUUAAUUGAGCAGGCAGCUCAGUACACGAACCCGGUGAGGGACAGAGAGCUGGACCUGAGGGGUUAUAAAAUUCCAGUUCUGGAGAAUCUGGGAGCCACUCUGGAUCAGUUCGACACGGUGGACUUCUCGGAUAACGAAAUCCGCAAACUGGACGGCUUCCCGCUCCUCAAGCGACUCAAGACCUUGCUGAUGAACAACAACAGGAUCUGUCGUAUCGGAGAGAACCUGGAGCAGAGUCUUCCAGCUCUGCGAGAACUCAUCCUGACCAACAACAAGAUCCAGGAACUGGGCGACUUGGAACCGCUGGCGUCGGUGAAGACGUUGACUCUGCUCAGCCUGCUGAGGAAUCCUGUGACCAACAAGAAGCACUACAGGCUCUACGUGGUCCACAAAAUCCCGCAGCUUCGCGUGCUGGACUUCCAGAAGGUCAAACUCAAGGUGGGGGGUGUCAGGCCGGCGGCCGUUUUGUCCGCACGUCCCGGCCCGUGGAGAUGGGUCCGGGCUGAAAGCGCUCACGUCUCGGCCCGUGGAGAUCGGUUCAGGCGGGAAGCGCUCGCGUCCCGGCCCGUGGAGAUCGGUUCCGGGCGAGAAGCGCUCACGGCCGUCACUGUAACGACGUCUGCUUGUGGUCGCAGGAGCGCCAGGAGGCGGAGAAAAUGUUCAAAGGCAAACGCGGCGCUCAGCUGGCGAAGGAUAUCGCCAAGCAGAGCAAAACGUAAGAGGGUCGGUCCCCGGCGGGCGGGUGCGUCGGACGGACGUAUCUCCUAUUCGACUCGGGAACAGAUACUACGUUGGAUCGGAUGUGGGAGAAGCUGCCCGGAGAGCGCCCCGUCUGACUCUGGCUUUCCCUUGCAGGUUCACGCCCGGAAUGGCGGCGCAGCUGGAGAAGGCGAGGACGGGCCCGUCGCACACCGACGUCGAAGCCAUCAAGAACGCCAUCGCCCAGGCGUCGUCACUGGCUGAGGUGGAGCGCUUGAAAGGAAUGCUGCAGGCCGGACACAUACCGGGACGGGAGCGCACACAAGAUGGUGCUGGCGUGGAAGAGGAGGAGGAGGAGGAAGAGGAGGAAGGCCACGCAUCGCAGAUGGCCGAUCAGACGGAAGAGAGCGAGGACAUGGAACAAGGUCCUCACCUCAACGGAUCCUGAUCACUUUUGUGUCUUCACUUUUAGUUUGACCAGAUUAAAUAAAUGAGUCAGAUUUUUCC